This 253-nucleotide ribosomal RNA is filed under the name uncultured bacterium. RNAcentral describes it as "partial 16S ribosomal RNA". It matches the Rfam family "Bacterial small subunit ribosomal RNA", at positions 524 to 776 of the family's 1533-position model. The record is from RNAcentral.
UACGUAGGGUGCGAGCGUUAAUCGGAAUUACUGGGCGUAAAGCGUGCGCAGGCGGCGCGUUAAGACAGGUGUGAAAGCCCCGAGCUUAACUUGGGAAUUGCGCUUGUGACUGGCGUGCUGGAGUGUGGCAGAGGGAGGUGGAAUUCCACGUGUAGCAGUGAAAUGCGUAGAGAUGUGGAGGAACACCGGUGGCGAAGGCGGCUUCCUGGACCGACACUGACGCUGAGGCGCGAAAGCGUGGGGAGCGAACAGG